This 620-nucleotide long non-coding RNA is filed under the name Homo sapiens (human). RNAcentral describes it as "non-protein coding lnc-OR2K2-1:4". Lineage: Eukaryota; Metazoa; Chordata; Mammalia; Primates; Hominidae. The record is from RNAcentral.
ACCAUUUGCCUGAAGCUCCUCAUCCCCUUCCUUGUGCCUCCUCAGAAUUCUACCAGUGCACCUCAUUCAGACAUUCAUCAAGAAAAAGGCCAGCUGAAGGCAGACAGCCAACAAAACUCAGUCGUUAGCCACAGCCCUGGCUGUCCUCGUCCAUCAAGCCUGCCCAUUGUGAGCUUCCAUUCAUCUUACCUGUCUGUUAUGGAAGAGUGAAGUGGAAAAGGCAUGGAGGACUCAGAAGACCUGCUACCGAGAAGAGAUAUCACAGAGCUGGCAGAGUUAAUGAGUAUCUUGGACAAUUGCACCAAAUGCAAUGGAUUGGGAUCACUAAAUCAAGACGUAAUUUGAUAGAAAUAAAGAGAUGGGGUCUCUCUCUUCCCCAGGCCGGAGUGCUAGAGUGCACUGGCAUGAUUACAGCUCACUGCAGCCUCGACCUCCUGGGCUCAAUUGAUCCUCUAGCCUCAGCCUCGUAAGUAGUUGGGACUACAGGCGUGUACCACCACAUUUGGCUUUUUUUUUUUUUUUUUGGUAUUUUUUGUAGAGACAAGGUUUUGCUAUGUUGCCCAGGCUAGUCUCGAACUCCCAGGCUCAAGUGAUCCUCCCGCCUUGGCCUCCCAAAGUGC